GAGUUUGAUCCUGGCUCAGGAUGAACGCUGGCGGCGUGCCUAACACAUGCAAGUCGAACGAAGCACCUUACCAGAUUCUUCGGAUGAUCGAUUGGUGACUGAGUGGCGGACGGGUGAGUAACGCGUGGGUAACCUGCCCUGUACAGGGGGAUAACAGUUGGAAACGGCUGCUAAUACCGCAUAAGCGCACGAGGAGACAUCUCCUUGUGUGAAAAACUCCGGUGGUACAGGAUGGGCCCGCGUCUGAUUAGCUGGUUGGCAGGGUAACGGCCUACCAAGGCAACGAUCAGUAGCCGGUCUGAGAGGAUGAACGGCCACAUUGGAACUGAGACACGGUCCAAACUCCUACGGGAGGCAGCAGUGGGGAAUAUUGCACAAUGGGGGAAACCCUGAUGCAGCAACGCCGCGUGAGUGAAGAAGUAUUUCGGUAUGUAAAGCUCUAUCAGCAGGGAAGAUAAUGACGGUACCUGACUAAGAAGCUCCGGCUAAAUACGUGCCAGCCGCCGCGGUAAUUC
Molecule: ribosomal RNA, 515 nt
Filed under: uncultured bacterium
Lineage: Bacteria
Description: bacterial SSU rRNA
Rfam family: Bacterial small subunit ribosomal RNA
Source: RNAcentral